RNAcentral lists this ribosomal RNA (472 nucleotides) under uncultured bacterium. RNAcentral describes it as "partial 16S ribosomal RNA". It matches the Rfam family "Bacterial small subunit ribosomal RNA", at positions 28 to 523 of the family's 1533-position model. The record is from RNAcentral.
GACGAACGCUGGCGGUGUGCUUCAUACAUGCAAGUCGAACGAUAAGGUCCUUCGGGAUACAUAAGUGGCGGACGGGUGAGUAACACGUAGAAAAUCUGCCUCAAGGAAGGGGACAACAGUUGGAAACGACUGCUAAUACCCUAUAUGAGCUAGGCUGAAAUGCCUAUCUUGAAAGUUCCGGCGCCUUGAGAUGAGUCUGCGUCUGAUUAGCUUGUUGGUGGGGUAAAGGCCUACCAAGGCGACGAUCAGUAGCUGGUUUGAGAGGAUGACCAGCCACAAUGGGACUGAGACACGGCCCAUACUCCUACGGGAGGCAGCAGUAGGGAAUUUUGCGCAAUGGGGGAAACCCUGACGCAGCAACACCGCGUGAACGACGAAGCCCUUCGGGGUGUAAAGUUCUGUCAGUAGGGACGAAUUUUGACGGUACCUGCAGAAAAAGCACCGGCUAACUACGUGCCAGCAGCCGCAGUAA